UCGAAACCUGCCCAGCAGAACGACCCGUGAACGUGUUUUCUAAAGACGGGUGUGCGGCACAGUUUGGCCCCUCGAGUGUCGCUGUGCUGUUCGNCCGAGCAGGGGAGUGCUCACUAGUUGCGCGCUUCGCUGCUAAACAAACGAACCCCGGCGCGAAAAGCGUCAAGGAACAUGAACUCUACGUGAGCGCCUUGUUUCCGCCCGGUUAGCCGGGUGGGGGCGAGGACUCGUGGCUUAAUAACAAUAAACGACUCUCGGCAACGGAUAUCUCGGCUCUCGCAUCGAUGAAGAACGUAGCGAAAUGCGAUACUUGGUGUGAAUUGCAGAAUCCCGUGAACCAUCGAGUCUUUGAACGCANGUUGCGCCCGAAGCCUCUGGCUAAGGGCACGUCUGCCUGGGCGUCACGCAUCGCGUCCCCCCCACACCGCCUAGUGCGGAGGGGAGGAAAGAUGGCUUCCCGUGCCUCACCGGGCGCGGUUGGCCUAAACUUGGAGCCCGCGNAAAUUAGAUCACGCGGCGAUAGGUGGUGAACAAGGCUUUGGCCAUGCAAACAACCCGCCGUGUAGUACUAACCCACGAACGCUCGUCGGACCCUUUGUCGUUGCCUUGGGCAACUCANACCUUUGCGACCCCAGGUCAGGCGGGG
This 646-nucleotide ribosomal RNA is filed under the name Gypsophila arabica. RNAcentral's name for it is "eukaryotic LSU rRNA". The stretch from base 250 to 404 matches the Rfam family "5.8S ribosomal RNA". The record is from RNAcentral. Lineage: Eukaryota; Viridiplantae; Streptophyta; Magnoliopsida; Caryophyllales; Caryophyllaceae.